UCCGUAGGUGAACCUGCGGAAGGAUCAUUAACAAAUUCCAAACACUCGUCUUUGCCAGGAGGGAACUGAGGCUCCGGCCGCACGAACCUUCUGGUCAUAUGACAAACACUUACAUUCACAAUUGACAACAACAGGAUUUCCACAAUUUAAAUUGUUUAAACAACUUUUAACAAUGGAUCUCUUGGCUCUUGCAACGAUGAAGAACGCAGCGAACUGCGAAACGUAAUGUGACCUGCACUCUUCGUGAAUCAUCGAAUCUUUGAACGCACCUUGCACUCCUUGGUAUUCCGAGGAGUAUGCCUGUUCGAGUGUCAUGAAACUCUCAAACCACAUCUUCAUUGAUGUUGGGUUUGGAUUUGGACGUUGCUGGACUUUUCGGCUCGUCUUGAAUGCAUUAGCUGGCGAUUUCGACUACAGUUAAACCGUGUGAUAAUACAUCUACGCGGGCAGCCGUCAAGGCGCUGGGUCGUCAUUCAAAGGCUUCUAAUUGUCCUUUGAGGACCGCCUUUAUUGGCGUAUUCAUUUCACAUCUGGCCUCGAAUCAGGGUAGGGGACUACCCGGCUGGAACUUAAGGCAUAUCAAUAAGGCGGGAGGGAAGGUCGGACUGGCC
This 611-nucleotide ribosomal RNA is filed under the name uncultured fungus. RNAcentral's name for it is "eukaryotic LSU rRNA". The stretch from base 162 to 314 matches the Rfam family "5.8S ribosomal RNA". The record is from RNAcentral. Lineage: Eukaryota; Fungi.